AUUCUGGUGCAAUAGAUAUAGUACCGUAAGGGAACAAUGAAAGAACUAUAUCAAGCACCAAAAAGCAAAGACAAAUCCUUGCAUCUUUUGAAUAAUGAAUUAACUAGAAUAAACUUCACAAAGAGAGCUCUAGCCAAGUCCCCCGAAAUCAGAGGAGCUUCUCCAGAACAGCUAGAAGAGUACACUCAUUUAUGUGGCAAAAUAGUGAGAAGAUUCAUUAGUAGCAGUGACAAGCCUACGGAGGCUGGUGAUAGCUGAUUGUCCAAGGUAGAAUUUUAGUUCAACUUUAAACUUAACCUACAGAAUUACUUAAUCCUCCUCUAAGUUUAACUGUUAAAGGGGGACGGAUCUUCAGAUACUAGAAAAUAACCGUCCUAUAGAGAGUAAAAGAUUUUACCACCAUAAUUGGCCUAAAAGCAGCCACCAAUUAAGAAAGCGUUUAAGCUCAACAUCUGACUAACUUCAUUUCUAAUCACCCUGUUGAACUCCUAAUAUUACAUUGGACUAACCUAUUAUUCAGUAGAAGCAAUAAUGUUAGUGUAAGUAACAUUAAGACAUUAUCCAUUGCAUAAGCUUACAUCAGACCAGAAUAAUCCACUGACAGUUAACAACCUAAUAUUAACAAAUGAUUAAUAGACAUCUUAUUAUCUUUAUUUUAACCCAAUACAGUCAUGCUCUAAGGAAAGAUUACAAAAAGUAAAAGGAACUCGGCACAUUUCACCCCGUCUCUUUACCAAAAACAUCACUCCUAGCAUUGCUAGUAUUAGAGGCACUGCCUGCUCAGUGACAUAUGUUUAAGGGUUGCGGUAUCCUGAACUUGCAAAGGUAGCAUAAUCACUUGUUCCCUAAGUAGGGACUUGUAUGAAUGGCCACACCAGGGUUUAGCUGUCUCUUACUUUCAACCAGUGAAAUUGACCUACCUAUGAAGAGGCGGGUAUAAAUAAAUAAGAGGAGAAGAUCCUGUGGAGCUUGAAUUCAUUAAUGCAAAUAAAGAUUCAAACAAGCCAACAGGCCCCAAUGUAUCAUCCCUGCAUUAAAAAUUUUGGUUGGGGUGGCUGGGCACAGUGGCUCACACCUGUAAUCCCAGCACUUUGGGAGGCCGAGGUGGGUGGAUCACGAGGUCAGGAGAUCGAGACCAUCCUGGCUAACACAGUAAAACCCCGUCUCUACUAAAAAUACAAAAAAUUAGCCGGGUGUGGUGGCACAUGCCUGUAGUCCCAGCUACUCAAGAGGAUGAGGCAGGAGAAUGGCAUGAACCUGGGAAGCAGAGCUUGCAGUGAGCGGAGAUGGUGCCACUGCACUCCAGCCCGAGAGACAGAGUGAGACUCUGUCUUAAAAAAAAAAAAAAAUUUGGUUGGGGUGACCUUGGAGCGUAAUUCAACCUCCGAAACGACUUAAACUAAGACCGCACUAGUGUAAGUCAGUUAUUACACAUUGACCCAAUAAUUCUAUCAACAGGAUAAGUGACCCUAGGGAUAAGAGUGCAAUCCUAUUCUAGCGUCCAUAUCAACAACAGGCUUUACGACUUUGAUGUUGCAUCGGGACAUCCUAAAUGGUGUAGCCGCUUUUAAGGGAUCAUUUGUUCAAUGAUUAAAGUCCUUCGUGAUCUGAGUUCAGACCAGAGCAAUCCAGGUUGGUUUCCAUCUAUUUAGCAUUUCUCCCAGUAUGAAAGGAUAUGAGAAACCGGGCCCACUUCACCAAGUGCCCUUACAAGACUAGGAUUU
Gorilla gorilla gorilla (western lowland gorilla) is the source of this 1724-nucleotide ribosomal RNA. It matches the Rfam family "Bacterial large subunit ribosomal RNA". NCBI's taxonomy places the organism in Eukaryota, Metazoa, Chordata, Mammalia, Primates, Hominidae. The record is from Rfam.